This 509-nucleotide ribosomal RNA is filed under the name uncultured bacterium. RNAcentral describes it as "bacterial SSU rRNA". It matches the Rfam family "Bacterial small subunit ribosomal RNA", at positions 791 to 1304 of the family's 1533-position model. The record is from RNAcentral.
UAGUCCACGCCGUAAACGAUGGUCACUCGAUAUGUACAUCUUAUUGUGCGUGUCCAAGCGAAAGCGUUAAGUGACCCACCUGGGAAGUACGCUCGCAAGAGUGAAACUUAAAGGAAUUGACGGGGGUCCGCACAAGCGGUGGAACAUGUGGUUUAAUUCGAUACUACGCGAAAAACCUUACCUAGGUUAAAUGUUUGUUGACCCACUCAGAAAAGAGUGUUUCUGUAAAGACAACAAACAAGGUGCUGCAUGGCUGUCGUCAGCUCGUGCCGUGAGGUGUUGGGUUAAGUCCUCUAACGAGCGCAACCCCUAUACUUAGUUGCCAACAUGUAAUGAUGGGGACUCUAAGUAAACUGCCUGCGAAAGCAGUGAGGAAGGAGGGGAUAAAGUCAGGUCAUCAUGGCUCUUACGCCUAGGGCUACACACGUGUUACAAUGGCGUGUACAGCGAGUCGCUACUUGGCAACAAGAUGCUAAUCUCUCAAAACACGUCUCAGUUCGGAUUGAGGU